CCUACGGGCGGCUGCAGUGGGGAAUAUUGGACAAUGGGGGCAACCCUGAUCCAGCCAUGCCGCGUGUGUGAAGAAGGCCCUCGGGUUGUAAAGCACUUUCAGUGAGGAAGAACGCCUGGUGGUUAAUACCCAUCAGGAAAGACAUCACUCACAGAAGAAGCACCGGCUAACUCCGUGCCAGCAGCCGCGGUAAUACGGAGGGUGCGAGCGGUAAUCGGAAUUACUGGGCGUAAAGCGCGCGUAGGUGGCUUGAUAAGCCGGUUGUGAAAGCCCCGGGCUCAACCUGGGAACGGCAUCCGGAACUGUCAAGCUAGAGUGCAGGAGAGGAAGGUAGAAUUCCCGGUGUAGCGGUGAAAUGCGUAGAGAUCGGGAGGAAUACCAGUGGCGAAGGCGGCCUUCUGGACUGACACUGACACUGAGGUGCGAAAGCGUGGGUAGCAAACAGGAUUAGCUACCCCAGUAGUC
RNAcentral lists this ribosomal RNA (465 nucleotides) under Vreelandella stevensii. RNAcentral describes it as "partial 16S ribosomal RNA". It matches the Rfam family "Bacterial small subunit ribosomal RNA", at positions 338 to 795 of the family's 1533-position model. Lineage: Bacteria; Pseudomonadati; Pseudomonadota; Gammaproteobacteria; Oceanospirillales; Halomonadaceae. The record is from RNAcentral.